RNAcentral lists this transfer RNA (75 nucleotides) under Gracilaria rangiferina. Its description in RNAcentral is "Hydropuntia rangiferina tRNA-His". It matches the Rfam family "tRNA". From Rfam's summary of the family: Transfer RNA (tRNA) molecules are approximately 80 nucleotides in length. Their secondary structure includes four short double-helical elements and three loops (D, anti-codon, and T loops). Further hydrogen bonds mediate the characteristic L-shaped molecular structure. tRNAs have two regions of fundamental functional importance: the anti-codon, which is responsible for specific mRNA codon recognition, and the 3' end, to which the tRNAs corresponding amino acid is attached (by aminoacyl-tRNA synthetases). tRNAs cope with the degeneracy of the genetic code in two manners: having more than one tRNA (with a specific anti-codon) for a particular amino acid; and 'wobble' base-pairing, i.e. permitting non-standard base-pairing at the 3rd anti-codon position. Lineage: Eukaryota; Rhodophyta; Florideophyceae; Gracilariales; Gracilariaceae. The record is from RNAcentral.
GCGAAAGGAGCUCGGGUUGGUUGAGCAGUAGAUUGUGAAUCUAAAGGUUAUGGGUUCAAAUCCCAUCUUUCGCCC